GUGCGUCUUAAAGACACAGGCCCGUUUUUCUGGAACUUGAGGUUCUAGGUUUGGGUGUGUUGGAUUGCCCUUUGGUCUUUUGUUUUAACUUUCCUGAGCUAGGAGUGGUGGCACAUCUGUAAUCCCAGCAUUCUGAGAAAUUGGAACCAAGCGAAUCGAAAGUUCGAGCCCAGCCUGGGAAAUUUAGCAACUGAGCUAGACCUGAGUUCGAUCCCCAGGGUCUUACAGAGUAGCCACUGAGCAAGAGAAUACUAUAGUGAUAGGAGGGCCAUUCCUGAAGGACAAUGACAGAACUGCAGCUAAGGAGCAUCAAGGGCAGUGGUGCUCAAAGCGGUUUGCCUGGCCAGGAAGAUCAGCAUCUCCGGGGAACUUGUUAGAAACGCACGUGCUAAGGCCCACCUCGGACCUAAUGAAGCAGAAACUGCGGGUAGGGAUCAGCAAUCCGUUUCAG
This 451-nucleotide long non-coding RNA is filed under the name Heterocephalus glaber (naked mole-rat). RNAcentral describes it as "lncRNA (ENSHGLG00100031115.2)". The record is from RNAcentral. Lineage: Eukaryota; Metazoa; Chordata; Mammalia; Rodentia; Bathyergidae.